Corapipo altera (White-ruffed manakin) is the source of this 928-nucleotide RNA transcript. It is a transcript of the gene named chromosome unknown C22orf39 homolog, with no coding region annotated. NCBI's taxonomy places the organism in Eukaryota, Metazoa, Chordata, Aves, Passeriformes, Pipridae. The transcript is spliced from 4 exons. The record is from RefSeq and is a predicted model, not a curated record.
AGCUUCAGGUGUUGGGUUCUCAACCAUUUUAAGCAAACCCCCUGUAAGUGCUUUUUAUAUUUAUAAUUAUUAACAUGCCUUUUAAUAGUUCAGAUACUAUAACGUAGCAAUCUAAUGGCAGGUGUAGGGAGAGGCAAGACCCAGCUGCGCUGCCCUGCUUUGGAACGGCCGUGUGGGUGUCACCCGAGGGUACGCGGGGGCAACCUCUGCGCUGUGCUGAAAGUAAAGGCCCCUGGUAACCAGCCGCGUCCCCGUGUGGUGAUUUCGGACGGAGCGAAGCGGGGCCUCCUUCCCGCCGCGUCCCGGCUCGCUCUGAGGGGCCGCUGCUCGCGCGCCGCCCGCCGGGCGGCCAUUGGCUCGCCGGCCUGGGGCCGCUUUGUGCCGCCCCUCGCCAUUGGCCGCGCCCUCGCGUGUCGCCGUAAGCGCGGCGGCCAUUGGCGGAGGCGCGGCAUGGCGGACGCGGGCGGCUCGUGGCGGCCGCCGCGGCCGUGCGAGGACUACUGGGGGGAGUGGAAGCACUGCCGCGGGCUGCGCCACGCCUUCCACCACUACUACGCGCACGGGGAGCUGCCGGCCUGCGGGCGCUGGCGGGAGGACUACGAGGCCUGCCGGGCCUGGGAGCGGCACCGCGCCGCCGCCGCGCAGGAAAAGCUGCGACGUUACAGGCAAAACGUGUGCCUGCGGUGUCCAGAAACGCCUCUGGCUACAGCCCCACGGACGCUGGAGGACUCGGGCCCUGCAGCAAAGGCUACAGCGUAACUCGUCCCUGCAGCCGGGCGGGAAAGCCCUUGGCGGGGAGGGUUGCACAGAACUGGAAGCUUUGUGCAAGAGUGAAAGAGCUCGAGUGAUGGAAAGCCAGAAGUAUGCUCCGGUGUGGACACUGAGGAAGAGCCCCCCACCAGACUGGUAUCUACCCCUUGACCAGGAC